RNAcentral lists this transfer RNA (73 nucleotides) under Takifugu fasciatus (obscure pufferfish). RNAcentral describes it as "tRNA-Phe". It matches the Rfam family "tRNA". From Rfam's summary of the family: Transfer RNA (tRNA) molecules are approximately 80 nucleotides in length. Their secondary structure includes four short double-helical elements and three loops (D, anti-codon, and T loops). Further hydrogen bonds mediate the characteristic L-shaped molecular structure. tRNAs have two regions of fundamental functional importance: the anti-codon, which is responsible for specific mRNA codon recognition, and the 3' end, to which the tRNAs corresponding amino acid is attached (by aminoacyl-tRNA synthetases). tRNAs cope with the degeneracy of the genetic code in two manners: having more than one tRNA (with a specific anti-codon) for a particular amino acid; and 'wobble' base-pairing, i.e. permitting non-standard base-pairing at the 3rd anti-codon position. The record is from RNAcentral. Lineage: Eukaryota; Metazoa; Chordata; Actinopteri; Tetraodontiformes; Tetraodontidae. RNAcentral also lists the same sequence under 2 other names.
GCUGAAAUAGCUCCAUUGGGAGAGUGUUAGACUGAAGUUCUGAAGGUCCCAGGUUCAAUUCUGGGUUCCAGCA